UAAACUCAUACUAGUUAGAUUUUGAUCCCAAUCACUUUGAAUAGUUCUUAGUAAAGUCUCCAAUGACUCCUUCAUUAUCUGUCCAGUGAGCAAGUUUUAUUCCUCAUCUUACUAUCUAGUUAGCAUUUGAAAUCGUUGUUCUGGAAACCUGGUGUUAUGAUUUGGAUAUGAGGUGUCCCCUAAAAGCUCACAUGUGAGAUAAUGCAAGAAAAUUCAGAGGAGAAAUGAUUGGGUUGUGAGAGUAUUAACUGGAGGUAGCUGGUGGUGUGGCUAUAGAAAAUGGUUAUUUAGGGGCAUGGCUAUGGGAUAUAUAUUUUGUAUCUGGACAGUGGAGUCUCUUUAUUUGCUUCCUGAUGAUGUGAACUGCUUCUCUGCCACGCUCUUCUGCCAUGAUGUUCUGUCUCAUCUUGAGCUCCAAGGAAUGAAGCUGGCUUUGUAUGGACUAAGACUCUGAAACAGUGAGCCCUAAAAUAAACUUUUCCUUCUCUACAAUUGUUCUGGCCAGAUCUUUUAGUCACAGCAGCAAAAAAGCUGACUAAAACAUCUGGUUUCACUUAGUUUUGGGGUACUUCUCUAGGUUUUCUUGCUGUAUAUCUAACUGCUUCUUCUGAGUUUCUUUUGUUGAUUCUUCCCCAGAUCCCCAAAUUGGAAUGACCUCCAAGUGACUAAGGGAGUAACUAAGGUUUCAUAUUUUAAACUUCUUCUCUUGUUUAUAUACUUUUACACUUUAGGUGACCUCAUUUUGUCUCAUAGUUUUAAGUAUCAUCUAACUUACUAUCAGAUUUAUCUCAACUACAGCCUCUUCCCUGAAUUCAAGAACCAUGUAUCUAAUUUUUUAAUAUUUCUACUUUAGUGGAUAACAGUCAUCUCUAACUUCCCAUGGUCGUCUCUAACUUAACACGGUCAUCUCAAAAUUAGAAUGUCCAAAACAAAAUUCUGAUUUUUCUCUUCCACACAGAUUCCUUCCAUAUACUUCCCAAUUUAACAGUCUUCUGGUUGUACAGGCCUUACAGCUUGGACUUGAUUCUUUUCCUCUUUUACCAUCCACCAAAUGCUUUAGAUAAUCAUGUCUUUACCUUCUAAAUAUAAUCAGAUUCAGACUAUGUCUUGUCAUGGUCACUGCUGAUAUCCUGGUAGAAGACCAACUCAUCUCUUUUUUUUGUUGUUGCAAUAAUAAUUUAUAAUAAUAAUAAUUUCUGACUGCUCUCUUUGCUAAUCCCCUUCCCAUUUUCCUGCUCUC
This 1240-nucleotide long non-coding RNA is filed under the name Marmota monax (woodchuck). Lineage: Eukaryota; Metazoa; Chordata; Mammalia; Rodentia; Sciuridae. The record is from RNAcentral.